UGUCGCCCUUCGAUAUGGCAAUGCAAUGUUUUAUCUGUCAAAAUUUCAACAUUUUCAUUGAUAAGGGAAGGUAAAAGUUUUAUCUUAAGAUCGCCUGGACUACUGACUCACCUCGACGUAAGCCGUAUCGGGAAACAUCUCCUGCAGCACUUCGGCCUCAUCCAAAAAGUAAUCGCAGUUCGAACUGGAGCUAUCAGUGGAGCCUCCAUCACUGGUCUCAGACAAGUGCUGGGAGCGCUUGCCGUGGCAGCCACCAUUGCCGUUGCCGCUGCUGCUGCUGUUGUUUGAGGAUAAUUCGUCCUUCUCCGAUAUGGAUGAGUUGCGUGCACGUAGCUUGGACUCUGGUAUAAUGUUAGACAAGCUCAAUUCGCUGUUAAAAAAAAAAGUAUUAAUGACAUACAGAAAAUAAUACAAAUGUAACAUGAAUUCGAAAAUAUGUUCUGGCUUACUGGAGCGAUAAAUUGA
Molecule: long non-coding RNA, 465 nt
Organism: Drosophila mojavensis
Lineage: Eukaryota; Metazoa; Arthropoda; Insecta; Diptera; Drosophilidae
Exons: 2
Source: RefSeq, a predicted model, not a curated record